Molecule: ribosomal RNA, 482 nt
Filed under: Burkholderiaceae bacterium L447_HBt
Lineage: Bacteria; Pseudomonadati; Pseudomonadota; Betaproteobacteria; Burkholderiales; Burkholderiaceae
Description: bacterial SSU rRNA
Rfam family: Bacterial small subunit ribosomal RNA
Source: RNAcentral
GGGGAGUACGGUCGCAAGAUUAAAACUCAAAGGAAUUGACGGGGACCCGCACANNCGGUGGAUGAUGUGGAUUAAUUCGAUGCAACGCGAAAAACCUUACCUACCCUUGACAUGUACGGAAUCCUGCCGAGAGGUGGGAGUGCCCGAAAGGGAGCCGUAACACAGGUGCUGCAUGCCUGUCGUCAGCUCGUGUCGUGAGAUGUUGGGUUAAGUCCCGCAACGAGCGCAACCCUUGUCCCUAGUUGCUACGCAAGAGCACUCCCAGGGAGACUGCCGGUGACAAAUCCGGAGGAAGGUGGGGAUGACGUCAAGUCCUCAUGGCCCUUAUGGGUAGGGCUUCACACGUCAUACAAUGGUCGGAACAGAGGGUUGCCAAGCCGCCGAGGUGGAGCCAAUCCCAGAAAACCGAUCGUAGUCCGGAUCGCAGUCUGCAACUCGAGCUGCGUGAAGUCUGGAAUCGCUAGUAAUCGCGGAUCAGCAUG